RNAcentral lists this ribosomal RNA (532 nucleotides) under Bacillus sp. H2S5L5. RNAcentral describes it as "bacterial SSU rRNA". It matches the Rfam family "Bacterial small subunit ribosomal RNA", at positions 49 to 564 of the family's 1533-position model. Lineage: Bacteria; Bacillati; Bacillota; Bacilli; Caryophanales; Bacillaceae. The record is from RNAcentral.
CUAUACAUGCAAGUCGAGCGAAUCUGAGGGAGCUUGCUCCCAAAGAUUAGCGGCGGACGGGUGAGUAACACGUGGGCAACCUGCCUGUAAGACUGGGAUAACUUCGGGAAACCGGAGCUAAUACCGGAUAAUCCCUUUCCUCACAUGAGGAAAGGCUGAAAGACGGUUUCGGCUGUCACUUACAGAUGGGCCCGCGGCGCAUUAGCUAGUUGGUGAGGUAACGGCUCACCAAGGCCACGAUGCGUAGCCGACCUGAGAGGGUGAUCGGCCACACUGGGACUGAGACACGGCCCAGACUCCUACGGGAGGCAGCAGUAGGGAAUCUUCCGCAAUGGACGAAAGUCUGACGGAGCAACGCCGCGUGAGUGAUGAAGGUUUUCGGAUCGUAAAACUCUGUUGUUAGGGAAGAACAAGUAUCGGAGUAACUGCCGGUACCUUGACGGUACCUAACCAGAAAGCCACGGCUAACUACGUGCCAGCAGCCGCGGUAAUACGUAGGUGGCAAGCGUUGUCCGGAAUUAUUGGGCGUAAA